GAUGAACGCUAGCUACAGGCUUAACACAUGCAAGUCGCGGGGCAGCAUGGGGGUUGCUUGCAACCCCUGAUGGCGACCGGCGCACGGGUGAGUAACGCGUAUCCAACCUGCCCUUCACCACGGGAUAACCCGGCGAAACUCGUACUAAUACCGUAUGUUGUCCAUUUACGGCAGCCGAUUUGGACGAGAGGCUGGGCGGUGUAAGGAUGUGGAUGCGUGCGAUUGGGGUGACGGCGGGGUAACGGCCCACCGUGGCUACGAUCGGUAAGGGUUCUGGGAGGAGGGUCCCCGACACUGGGACUGGGACCCGGGCCAGACUCCUACGGGAGGCAGCAGUGAGGGAUAUAGGACAAUGGGCGAAAGCAUGAUGCGGCCAAGUAGCGUGCAGGAUGGCGGCGCUAUGGGUGGUAAACUGCUUUUAGGCGGGGAUAAAGUGGACCGCGGGUGGGCUUUUGACGGUACCGGAUGAAUAAGGACCGGCUAACUCCGUG
This 491-nucleotide ribosomal RNA is filed under the name uncultured bacterium. RNAcentral describes it as "partial 16S ribosomal RNA". It matches the Rfam family "Bacterial small subunit ribosomal RNA", at positions 28 to 507 of the family's 1533-position model. The record is from RNAcentral.